GUGCAUCGAAGAGUUUGUAACACCCGAAGCCGGUGGCGUAACCUUUAGGGAGCGAGCCGUCUAAGGUGGGACAAAUGAUUAGGGUGAAGUCGUAACAAGUUAGCCGUAGGAGAACCUGCGGCUGGAUCACCUCCUUUCUAAGGAAACAGACUGAAAGUCUGACGGAAACCUGCACACACGAAACUUUGUUUAGUUUUGAGGGGACGACCGUCAAGCACCCUAGCGGGUGCGACUUUGUUCUUUGAAAACUGGAUAUCAUUGUAUUAAUUGUUUUAAAUUGCCGAGAACACAGCGUAUUUGUAUGAGUUUCUAAAAAAGAAAUUCGCAUCGCAUUACCGCUGACGCAAGUCAGUACAGGUUAAGUUACAAAGGGCGCACGGUGGAUGCCUUGGCACUAGGAGCCGAUGAAGGACGGAACUAAUACCGAUAUGCUUCGGGGAGCUAUAAGUGAGCUUUGAUCCGGAGAUUUCCGAAUGGGGGAACCCAGUACACAUCAGUGUAUUGCCUGCAAGUGAA
This 516-nucleotide unclassified non-coding RNA is filed under the name Lacticaseibacillus rhamnosus. RNAcentral's name for it is "Lactobacillus rhamnosus partial contains 16S ribosomal RNA, 16S-23S ribosomal RNA intergenic spacer, and 23S ribosomal RNA". The stretch from base 357 to 516 matches the Rfam family "Bacterial large subunit ribosomal RNA", at positions 1 to 162 of the family's 2925-position model. Lineage: Bacteria; Bacillati; Bacillota; Bacilli; Lactobacillales; Lactobacillaceae. The record is from RNAcentral.